Molecule: ribosomal RNA, 427 nt
Filed under: uncultured bacterium
Lineage: Bacteria
Description: partial 16S ribosomal RNA
Rfam family: Bacterial small subunit ribosomal RNA
Source: RNAcentral
UGGGGAAUAUUGGACAAUGGGCGAAAGCCUGAUCCAGCCAUGCCGCGUGUGUGAAGAAGGUCUUCGGAUUGUAAAGCACUUUAAGUUGGGAGGAAGGGCAUUAACCUAAUACGUUAGUGUUUUGACGUUACCGACAGAAUAAGCACCGGCUAACUCUGUGCCAGCAGCCGCGGUAAUACAGAGGGUGCAAGCGUUAAUGGGAAUUACUGGGCGUAAAGCGCGCGUAGGUGGUUUGUUAAGUUGGAUGUGAAAUCCCCGGGCUCAACCUGGGAACUGCAUUCAAAACUGACUGACUAGAGUAUGGUAGAGGGUGGUGGAAUUUCCUGUGUAGCGGUGAAAUGCGUAGAUAUAGGAAGGAACACCAGUGGCGAAGGCGACCACCUGGACUAAUACUGACACUGAGGUGCGAAAGCGUGGGGAGCGAACA